GGGCGAUUAGCUCAGUUGGUUAGAGCGCCUCGUUUACACCGAGGAAGUCGGGGGUUCGAGUCCCUCAUCGCCCA
RNAcentral lists this transfer RNA (74 nucleotides) under Planctomycetaceae bacterium. RNAcentral describes it as "tRNA-Val". It matches the Rfam family "tRNA". Rfam says of the family: Transfer RNA (tRNA) molecules are approximately 80 nucleotides in length. Their secondary structure includes four short double-helical elements and three loops (D, anti-codon, and T loops). RNAcentral also lists the same sequence under 1 other name. Lineage: Bacteria; Pseudomonadati; Planctomycetota; Planctomycetia; Planctomycetales; Planctomycetaceae. The record is from RNAcentral.